AACGCACAUUGCGCUCCCUGGUAUUCCGGGGAGCAUGCCUGUUCGAGCGUCAUUAUCAACCCUCAAGCCCUGCUUGGUAUUGGGUGCCGUCCCUGCUGCGGACGCGCCCUAAAGACGUUGGCGGUGGUGUUAGACCUCAAGCGUAGUAAAAUCUCCAGCUUUUCAGGUUUGACGCUGCUUUGCCUCUAGAAACCCAUCAUUUCAAAGGUUGACCUCGGAUCAGGUAGGGAUACCCGCUGAACUUAA
This 246-nucleotide unclassified non-coding RNA is filed under the name Naetrocymbe sp. Its description in RNAcentral is "partial contains 5.8S ribosomal RNA, internal transcribed spacer 2, and large subunit ribosomal RNA". The stretch from base 1 to 52 matches the Rfam family "5.8S ribosomal RNA", at positions 103 to 154 of the family's 154-position model. RNAcentral also lists the same sequence under 1 other name. The record is from RNAcentral. Lineage: Eukaryota; Fungi; Ascomycota; Dothideomycetes; Pleosporales; Naetrocymbaceae.